This is a long non-coding RNA of Physella acuta, 446 nucleotides long. RefSeq lists it as uncharacterized. NCBI's taxonomy places the organism in Eukaryota, Metazoa, Mollusca, Gastropoda, Physidae. The record is from RefSeq and is a predicted model, not a curated record.
GUUAUGGAACCUGCAUUUGAAAUAAUGAAAAAAGUAAGUAGUCAGUAGUUAUGUGUCAUUUUUUUAAAUCAUAUUUUAUUAACAAAUUCUAUAUUAUACAAUCAUGUACUAAGUUACUCAGUUUAUUUCACUUAUGCACUUUUAACAUUACCAGGCCGUAGAAAAAAGUACGACGUGGAUAGAAGAUAAAAAGGACAACCCGUCUAUCACCUAAGUAGAGCUACGCCAGGAACAUGAGUCAGCGACCAUGGCAAUGUUGGAUGCAUGUUCUAAAAUUAUGACACAGUGUGAUGUAUAAACUCCUACAACAAAGAUUGAUGCCCAUUGACAAACUGGUUCAUACCUUUAACCAGAUCUUGGAGACAAGGGUGAAAAAUAUGAGAAAGCUUGGAUUUGUAGAAGUUGAUGUUACAAAAUUGUUAAAAGAUGUCUACGCACUUGAAAAG